GACCCGGUGGUGAAGUGGUUUCGCAUCUGCGCAGUUUAGGUCCUCGCAUGCGUAGUUUUCGCGGAAGACACCCGUUCGAUUUGGGUCUGGGUCG
Non-coding RNA from Mycena latifolia, 94 nucleotides. The record is from the annotation of a GenBank genome assembly. NCBI's taxonomy places the organism in Eukaryota, Fungi, Basidiomycota, Agaricomycetes, Agaricales, Mycenaceae.